AUGCUAUGGAAGAUCUACAUCUUAUUCAAAUUUUUUAUUUUAGUAGGCAAUCACUCUGUUUAGAUUCAGCAUGCAUAUUCUUGCCUAAAGUUGUAGGUUGUGGUUUAAAUGACAAUCAUGUUUUCAAAGUUUUUGCAGUAUUGUCUUGGUCUUCUUAAGUAAAUCUCUAGCAGCUGGCAUCCCCAAGGAUCCCUGCUGGUGCUACGUAAAGGAAAGAAGUGACUUCACCAGGCAAGGAAAUGUGGGACCUUCUGGCCAUACAGUGUUUCUGAUGGAGGAGGGGAGUCUCAGGCCAGGCAUACAGGGAGAACACUUCAAGGACUGCAACCACUCAUUGUGGUAUCAUCCUAUUUGCUGGUACUCCCAGCUGUGAGUUGUCUCCAGUGACACAAAGGAAAAUACUGGAAGGUAUGAUUGUCAUUUAACUACAGCUAAAUGAUGCUUUAGAGAGGCCAGCAAGGUAACCCAGGUGGCGAAGCCGACCAAUGGGAAUCACAGUGACACAGGAUGAAUAAGCCCAAUCUCACAACUCUGCUCCAGCCAACUGCUGCCAGGAGAAGAUAUGAACUCAAUGUUGCCAGCUUACCAUCUGACUUUUAAAGAUAAGCUGAAAAUCUAGAUUUUUAUAUAAAUGGUCCUGAAUGUUAGGUGUUUGCAACUAACUCAAGAUAAAACAACAAUGGUGUGGACCAAACAAAGCUUUUCUCAAGUAAAGCUCAGCCUAUGUGCUAUUAAUCUACAACCUCUGUUUUAGUGUUUAUGAAGUAAUUUUUUUCUUUACAAUAUACUAUCAAUUUUAACCUUCACAACAAA
This is a non-coding RNA of Saimiri boliviensis boliviensis (Bolivian squirrel monkey), 813 nucleotides long. The record is from RefSeq and is a predicted model, not a curated record. Lineage: Eukaryota; Metazoa; Chordata; Mammalia; Primates; Cebidae.